This 218-nucleotide long non-coding RNA is filed under the name Ricinus communis (castor bean). RNAcentral describes it as "long non-coding RNA (RCOM_LNC002640)". Lineage: Eukaryota; Viridiplantae; Streptophyta; Magnoliopsida; Malpighiales; Euphorbiaceae. The record is from RNAcentral.
ACCCUGUAAGUGGGGUAUAUCUUUCGACAUGAGAAAACAACCCCAAGAAAGUAGUAUAUUUGUCAAUAUGAGAAAACAACCCCGUAAGAGGGUUAUAUUUAUCAAUAUUACAAAACAACCCCGUAAGAGGGGUAUAUCUUCCGACAUGAGAAAACAACACCAAAAAGGUGGUAUAUUUGUCAAUAUGAGAACAACCCCGUAAGAGGGGGAUAUUUGUC